This 124-nucleotide non-coding RNA is filed under the name uncultured Megasphaera sp. RNAcentral describes it as "FMN riboswitch (RFN element)". It matches the Rfam family "FMN riboswitch aptamer (RFN element)". From Rfam's summary of the family: The RFN element is a highly conserved domain that is found frequently in the 5'-untranslated regions of prokaryotic mRNAs that encode for flavin mononucleotide (FMN) biosynthesis and transport proteins. Lineage: Bacteria; Bacillati; Bacillota; Negativicutes; Veillonellales; Veillonellaceae. The record is from RNAcentral.
AAUCUUCAGGGCAGGGUGUAAUUCCCGAUCGGCGGUAUAGUCCGCGAACGCCUCGGCGUAGGAGCUAAUGCUCGUGAUUUGGUGCAAUUCCAAAACCGACAGUAUAGUCUGGAUGGAAGAAGAU